AGUGAACGCUGGCGGUAGGCCUAACACAUGCAAGUCGAACGGCAGCACAGUAAGAGCUUGCUCUUACGGGUGGCGAGUGGCGGACGGGUGAGGAAUACAUCGGAAUCUACUUUUUCGUGGGGGAUAACGUAGGGAAACUUACGCUAAUACCGCAUACGACCUACGGGUGAAAGCAGGGGAUCUUCGGACCUUGCGCGAUUGAAUGAGCCGAUGUCGGAUUAGCUAGUUGGCGGGGUAAAGGCCCACCAAGGCGACGAUCCGUAGCUGGUCUGAGAGGAUGAUCAGCCACACUGGAACUGGGACACGGUCCAGACUCCUACGGGAGGCAGCAGUGGGGAAUAUUGGACAAUGGGGGCAAGCCUGCUCCAGCCAUACCGCGUGGGUGAAGAAGGCCUUCGGGUUGUAAAGCCCUUUUGUUGGGAAAGAAAAGCAGCAGGUUAAUACCCCGCUGUUCUGACGGUACCCAAAGAAUAAGCACCGGCUAACUUCGUG
RNAcentral lists this ribosomal RNA (492 nucleotides) under uncultured bacterium. Its description in RNAcentral is "partial 16S ribosomal RNA". It matches the Rfam family "Bacterial small subunit ribosomal RNA", at positions 29 to 507 of the family's 1533-position model. The record is from RNAcentral.